This 61-nucleotide ribosomal RNA is filed under the name Neonectria sp. RNAcentral's name for it is "partial 28S ribosomal RNA". Lineage: Eukaryota; Fungi; Ascomycota; Sordariomycetes; Hypocreales; Nectriaceae. The record is from RNAcentral.
GGUUGACCUCGAAUCAGGUAGGACUACCCGCUGAACUUAAGCAUAUCAAUAAAGCGGAGGA